This 274-nucleotide ribosomal RNA is filed under the name uncultured bacterium. Its description in RNAcentral is "partial 16S ribosomal RNA". It matches the Rfam family "Bacterial small subunit ribosomal RNA", at positions 524 to 796 of the family's 1533-position model. The record is from RNAcentral.
UACGGAGGGUGCAAGCGUUAAUCGGAAUUACGUGGCGAUAAGCGCGCGUAGGUGGUUUGAUAAGCGAGAUGUGAAAGCCCCCGGGCUUAACCUGGGGAAACGGCAUUUCGAACUGUCAGGCUAGAGUAUGGUAGAGGAGUGUGGAAUUUCCUGUGUAGCGGUGAAAUGCGUAGAUAUAGGAAGGAACACCAGUGGCGAAGGCGGCACUCUGGACCAAUACUGACACUGAGGUGCGAAAGCGUGGGGAGCAAACAGGAUUAGAUACCCGUAGUCC